RNAcentral lists this ribosomal RNA (447 nucleotides) under uncultured bacterium. Its description in RNAcentral is "bacterial SSU rRNA". It matches the Rfam family "Bacterial small subunit ribosomal RNA", at positions 355 to 825 of the family's 1533-position model. The record is from RNAcentral.
UCGGGAAUUUUGGGCAAUGGGCGAAAGCCUGACCCAGCAACGCCGCGUGAAGGAUGAAGUAUUUCGGUAUGUAAACUUCGAAAGAAUAGGAAGAAUAAAUGACGGUACUAUUUAUAAGGUCCGGCUAACUACGUGCCAGCAGCCGCGGUAAUACGUAGGGACCAAGCGUUGUUCGGAUUUACUGGGCGUAAAGGGCGCGUAGGCGGCAAUUCAAGUCAUCUGUGAAAUCUCCGGGCUUAACUCGGAACGGUCAGAUGAUACUGCUUUGCUAGAGUGCAGAAGGGGCAAUCGGAAUUCUUGGUGUAGCGGUGAAAUGCGUAGAUAUCAAGAGGAACACCUGAGGUGAAGACGGGUUGCUGGGCUGACACUGACGCUGAGGCGCGAAAGCGUGGGUAGCAAACAGGAUUAGAUACCCCGGUAGUCCCUGAGCGGGCUGGCAAGGCGCAU